This 866-nucleotide ribosomal RNA is filed under the name uncultured bacterium. RNAcentral describes it as "bacterial SSU rRNA". It matches the Rfam family "Bacterial small subunit ribosomal RNA", at positions 638 to 1500 of the family's 1533-position model. The record is from RNAcentral.
AGACUAGAGUGCGGUAGGGGAGAUUGGAAUUCCUGGUGUAGCGGUGGAAUGCGCAGAUAUCAGGAGGAACACCGAUGGCGAAGGCAGAUCUCUGGGCCGUUACUGACGCUGAGGAGCGAAAGGGUGGGGAGCAAACAGGCUUAGAUACCCUGGUAGUCCACCCCGUAAACGUUGGGAACUAGUUGUGGGGUCCAUUCCACGGAUUCCGUGACGCAGCUAACGCAUUAAGUUCCCCGCCUGGGGAGUACGGCCGCAAGGCUAAAACUCAAAGGAAUUGACGGGGACCCGCACAAGCGGCGGAGCAUGCGGAUUAAUUCGAUGCAACGCGAAGAACCUUACCAAGGCUUGACAUACACCAGAACGCCCUAGAAAUAGGGAACUCUUUGGACACUGGUGAACAGGUGGUGCAUGGUUGUCGUCAGCUCGUGUCGUGAGAUGUUGGGUUAAGUCCCGCAACGAGCGCAACCCUCGUUCUAUGUUGCCAGCACGUAAUGGUGGGAACUCAUGGGAUACUGCCGGGGUCAACUCGGAGGAAGGUGGGGAUGACGUCAAAUCAUCAUGCCCCUUAUGUCUUGGGCUUCACGCAUGCUACAAUGGCCGGUACAAAGGGCUGCAAUACCGUGAGGUGGAGCGAAUCCCAAAAAGCCGGUCCCAGUUCGGAUUGAGGUCUGCAACUCGACCUCAUGAAGUCGGAGUCGCUAGUAAUCGCAGAUCAGCAACGCUGCGGUGAAUACGUUCCCGGGUCUUGUACACACCGCCCGUCAAGUCAUGAAAGUCGGUAACACCUGAAGCCGGUGGCCCAACCCUUGUGGAGGGAGCUGUCGAAGGUGGGAUCGGUAAUUAGGACUAAGUCGUAACAAGGUAAA